GGAGAGGAAGGGACACCAGCACUUUCUUCUCCACCACGUGAGGACCCGAGAUGAGCAAGACCUGAUUCCUGUCCCUAAGGAGAGGCUUCCGGGUGGACUGGACGUGAGUCAUCACCUGAAGUUUGAGAUGUUGGCUCUCAGACCCACCCGUUCUCUCCAGCCUCGGGGUCACGGCCAGCCAGCCUGCCUCUCACACUAGUGGGACCAGGGCAAGAAUUCGGGGCACAGGGGUCGCAGAACCCACGUUCGGAAACCCUCCAGUGAGAACCAGCUGCUGCUGCCCAGUGCACUCUGGGCUCCCGUCCAGCCCCCCACUCCGGCCGCAGACACAGGGAGCAUCGGGCCGGGGCGGCCUCACAGCCCAGGAUGGAUCCUAACCCACGCAGGGAGGACGUGCGCGGCAGGGAGCCCUCGGAGGCUGGCGGCUGCUCCCCAGGUGCGCCCUGUGCCUCUCGCCUGGGAGCUCCACCCGAGGGAGCCCGACGCCCUGUCCCCACAAAACGCGCGUCCCAAUAUUAACAGCAGCAGUGUUUCUAAUUUCCAAAAUGUGGAAUCAACCCAAAUGUCCAUGGACUGAUGGCGGCUGAGACGGCCGAAGCUCUCCACCCGCUGGAAUUCCGUCACCUGCAGCAGGGGCGAGGCCCCCACGAACCCCGGCGGACCCCCAGCCACGCGCUCGGCGAGGGAGCCACACACAGGAGGCCCCACGGGGUGGCAGGACGGCUCGUCCACGGAGAGGGGCUGGGCGCUGGGGACGGGAAGGGAUGGGGCUUCUUUUUGGGGAGAUGGAAUGUUCUAAUGUGGAUGGUGGUGGAUGCCGAGUGCUGUGAAUAUUUUUUUAAAAAUCACUGAACUGUGCACUUUUGGGCGAGAAUUGUAUGCUAUGUGACUUUGUGACUUGUAUCUCAAUAAAGUUGUUGGGGAAUCCCAGCUGCAGUCCUGGGACACCCUCCCCUUGGUGGAUCUGA
Molecule: long non-coding RNA, 968 nt
Organism: Canis lupus familiaris (dog)
Lineage: Eukaryota; Metazoa; Chordata; Mammalia; Carnivora; Canidae
Exons: 3
Source: RefSeq, a predicted model, not a curated record